Molecule: small nuclear RNA, 130 nt
Filed under: Sinocyclocheilus rhinocerous
Lineage: Eukaryota; Metazoa; Chordata; Actinopteri; Cypriniformes; Cyprinidae
Description: U1 spliceosomal RNA (ENSSRHG00000017974.1)
Rfam family: U1 spliceosomal RNA
About the family: U1 is a small nuclear RNA (snRNA) component of the spliceosome (involved in pre-mRNA splicing). Its 5' end forms complementary base pairs with the 5' splice junction, thus defining the 5' donor site of an intron.
Source: Rfam by way of RNAcentral
AUACUUACCUGGCAGGGGAGACACCAUGAUCAAGAAGGUGGUUCACCCAGGGUGAGGCUCAGCCAUUGCACUCCGGUUGUGCUGAGCUCUGCAAAUUCCCCAAAUGUGGGAAUCGUUUAGAGUAUUAAAC